Humulus lupulus (European hop) is the source of this 119-nucleotide small nucleolar RNA. NCBI's taxonomy places the organism in Eukaryota, Viridiplantae, Streptophyta, Magnoliopsida, Rosales, Cannabaceae. The record is from RefSeq and is a predicted model, not a curated record.
AUCCCAGAUAAGCCUUUUUUAUGCUUAUCUGAUUCAUGGGAGGCAUAUAUGAACAAUGGUAGUUCGCUGAUAGCACCUUUUCCUUAGAAGGUAUGCUAAUAGUACCUUACCAGACAUAU